GAUGAACGCUGGCGGCGUGCCUAAUACAUGCCAGUCGAGCGAACAGACGAGGAGCUUGCUCCUCUGACGUUAGCGGCGGACGGGUGAGUAACACGUGGAUAACCUACCUAUAAGACUGGGAUAACUUCGGGAAACCGGAGCUAAUACCGGAUAACAUGUUGAACCGCAUGGUUUAACAGUGAAAGACGGUCUUGCUGUCACUUAUAGAUGGAUCCGCGCCGCAUUAGCUAGUUGGUAAGGUAACGGCUUACCAAGGCAACGAUGCGUAGCCGACCUGAGAGGGUGAUCGGCCACACUGGAACUGAGACACGGUCCAGACUCCUACGGGAGGCAGCAGUAGGGAAUCUUCCGCAAUGGGCGAAAGCCUGACGGAGCAACGCCGCGUGAGUGAAGAAGGUCUUCGGAUCGUAAAACUCUGUUAUUAGGGAAGAACAAAUGUGUAAGUAACUAUGCACGUCUUGACGGUACCUAAUCAGAAAGCCACGGCGAACUACGU
RNAcentral lists this ribosomal RNA (496 nucleotides) under uncultured bacterium. RNAcentral's name for it is "partial 16S ribosomal RNA". It matches the Rfam family "Bacterial small subunit ribosomal RNA", at positions 28 to 506 of the family's 1533-position model. The record is from RNAcentral.